GACGAACGCUGGCGGCGUGCUUAACACAUGCAAGUCGAACGGAAAGGCCCUGCUUUUGUGGGGUGCUCGAGUGGCGAACGGGUGAGUAACACGUGAGUAACCUGCUCUUGACUUUGGGAUAACUUCAGGAAACUGGGGCUAAUACCGGAUCGGAGCUCCUGCUGCAUGGUGGGGGUUGGAAAGUUUCGGCGGUUGGGGAUGGACUCGCGGCUUAUCAGCUUGUUGGUGGGGUAGUGGCUUACCAAGGCUUUGACGGGUAGCCGGCCUGGGAGGGUGACCGGCCACAAUAGUACUGAGAGACGGCCCAGACUCCUACAGGAGGCAGCAGUGGGGAGUAUGGCACAAUGGGCGGGAGCCUGAGGCAGCAGCGCCGCGUGCGGGAUGACGUCCUGCGGGUUGUGAACCGCUUUCGCCUGUUACGAAGCGGGAGUGACGGUAAUGGGUAAAGAAGCACCGGCUAACUACGUG
This 468-nucleotide ribosomal RNA is filed under the name uncultured bacterium. Its description in RNAcentral is "partial 16S ribosomal RNA". It matches the Rfam family "Bacterial small subunit ribosomal RNA", at positions 28 to 507 of the family's 1533-position model. The record is from RNAcentral.